Long non-coding RNA from Brassica napus (rape), 4622 nucleotides. RefSeq lists it as uncharacterized. NCBI's taxonomy places the organism in Eukaryota, Viridiplantae, Streptophyta, Magnoliopsida, Brassicales, Brassicaceae. The transcript is spliced from 5 exons. The record is from RefSeq and is a predicted model, not a curated record.
CCUGUUGAACGUCCGAUGACGCGUUGCUCCGACCUGAGCUCCAAAUCUGUUGGUUACCUGAUAUGUAUUGAUGUGGAAAAAAUAUGAGGAUUUAAAAACACCCUUUUAAAUAGUAGUAGUUGUUUAUUUUGAAAGAUAUUUUUUUAUUAUAUUUGGAAAUCUAUAUUAUUAAAAGAUGAGGAUCUAAAAAAAUUGUAUAUUGAUAAUCAUUAAAUCAUACUAAUAUUGAUUGCAAGUAGCUAUCGUGUGAAACUUUUGUUUGUACAAAAUGUGAGGAUGAGGGUCUAAUAAGAUGUAUAUUUUUAAGGAUUGUAUAAAUUAUAAUUUCAAAUAUUUUGUUGAUUGACCGCAAGGUAUGACAUUGGAUGAUUAGUGAAAAUCAUUUUUAUCAUGAUAAUUAAGGUGUAUACAUAUAGUCAAUGUAUGAAGGAAGUAUUUUAUACAGCAAUUGUUAAGUUGUUUAUCCUUAAAUGUGAGACAUAGAUAUGUCUGGUUGGUACGAAGUUAACGAAAACCUAAUAUAUAAGUAUGAACAUUGACCUUUUGAAUUUUGUUAUAUACCGUGAAUUUGUUUUGUAUGGUAAUGACAGAGAAAAUUGAUUGUUAAGCAAUGGGAUAACUACAAAAGAGAAAGUAUAUAUAAGGGUGAUGUCGAUUGUUUUUGUUUGGCAAGUAUAAAUUUAAUUUUGGAUAAAUCAAUUAAUAAUCCAUUAAAGACAAAGAAUCUAUAAAUAUAGCUUCAAUUAAUACAUCAGUGACAUGAGAGUGUAAAUAUAUUGAAAAAUUAAAGGGUAAUCUAAUUUUGUACUCAUGUUUUAAUAGAUUAGAUAUUUGGGAAAGUUUCCUUCGUAUACGCUCAUAUCUAUGCAUCUUCAUGAUACCAUUCUACAAACAUUACAGCAAAAAGAGAUAAAUAAGGCUGAGAAAAAAGGAAACCAACUCCUGUAAUUCAUUGUCUAUCAAGCCGCAAAAACGACACUUACGCCAAACUUGAACAGAAGCGGAGUUCUUCAAAGGUAUAGAACAUCUAUCUCUCCAGAACUUAUUGAUCUGGUCAUCACCAGGCUUUCUUGAUAAGCGGAGUUCAUUCUGCCAAUAGCUAGAGCACCUUUCUUUUCUCUUAUAUCUUAUGGAAUUCUCAUGUCUUGCUUUGAAUUCUCUUUCGGAAGUUCAUAGACAAAAAAAACACAGGUUUCCAGACAGUAAUUGCCUCCACUCAGCAAAAUCACACAGCAAAACCACAAUUGUAUUUGCUUCUACUUGCGCAGAGAGAAGCAUCAAGUGAAAUAGUCACCCCGUGUUGACAUAUCGGGUGUGACCAGCAAGAGUCGACCUAAGCCAACAGUUCGAAACGUUCUACACUUAUUUGGUUGUGUAUAGACUAGUGUUAGCGUUGUAUCACGAAGACAUUGUACCAUAGUUGAGACGUUCUAAAUCAUUACCCAACAUAUAUAUACCAAAAUCUUCAUGAACCAUCUGCACCGUAUCUUCAAACUUCAAACCUUCUUUAAUGGUAAAUAAUUUACCUCCAUUUUUGUAUUCACCGUGAAAUUCCAUGAUUCUUUAUUCAACUUACUCUCUCCAAAAACUCCAGUUAUAUGCAUCAUGAUUUUCCUAAACGAAAAUAACAUUUAAAAUAAAAUAGAAACUGAAAUCUAAUUUAUGAAUUAACAAACCUCUGAAUGAGAUCAGAGGAAGAUAAAAGUUAUUUCAUACAUGAGGGUAAGGAAAAGAAGAAAAUGAGACGUUGUCUCGAAGGUUUUUUUUUCAGAAACAUAAAAAGUUUAAUAUAUAUAAAAAAGAAUAUUGUUUGGAUAUUCUAAAGAUUUCUUUUUAAAAACAUCUUAUGUUUGUUAAAACCGUUACUUUGAGUAUAAAAUAAUUAUGAUGAUAAAUAAUUAAGAAAUAUUGAGAUUGGGCAAUUUAGUAAAUUUUAUAUAUACCAAAGUGUAUUUUUCUAAAAAAAUUAAUCAAUGGUGUAGUUUAAAAAAAAUAAUCAAUGGUGUAGUUUUCAAAUUAAUAUCUUAUUUAAGUGUAUUUCUCCAAAUUUUCACAUUGAAAUAUGUAGUUGGUAAAUAGUUAAUUUUUAACUAAAUAGACAUAGAUAAGAAGCUUUUUUACAUCGGUUGUUUUAUUCCAGUCUAGUUACCCAGACCACCUCAAGUUCUUUGAGUAAUAGAAUGACCGUUCGAUGGAAAAAAAAAGGCGGCAUGUUAGGGAUUCGACCAAAAAAAGAAGGCAUAUAUCAGGGUUUUCCAAUGGUCAAUGUUGUAGAAAAGAGGCUAAGUGGUCAAAAGUGUUAAAGAUCUUAACGAAAGCCCCUUAUUUUGUAAUUUCCUCUUAUUUUAAAACCUUUUAAAUUUUAACAUAAAAUUCGCUAAUGUCGAUUUCCCUCGUUUAGCUUUAACUGUUGUCAAAUACUCAAAUGUGGAUGAAAAUAGUUAAAUCAAAAAUAUUGUGUUAUAACUAAAAUAAAAAACUAAAUCAGAAUACUAAAAGCAAGAUAUAGUGAGCAAUUAAGAUAUCCACAUCAUCAAAAAUAAUCAUACAAUCAAAUGCAAUUGUUCUGUCACGUCAUUUUGCUUAAUCACCUUCUAGGUACUCUAGCUACAUCAUGUCUUUAUAGAAAACAUUUACGAAAAUCAUCCACCGGCAAUCUCAUCUCUUCGCCUUCUUCCCUAAAAUUAAUUUCCUAUUUACCAUUGAUCUCUUCCUCUCCUUCUCUGUAUUUCGUUUCUGAUAGGUUUAAUUGCAUAAACUCAUUAUUUAACAUUUUUUACUCUUUCACUCUUCUGUUAGACUCAAAUAUAGAGAGAACUCCGGUGACUUCAACGCCGCCGUUAAUCACCAUGUAAUCAACCUACAAUCAAUACGUCCACUACUUGCAUCGUUUGUUGCUCAGGCGUCGCUUAAUCAGUGCUUCAAUCUCUGCAGAGAAGAAGAUCGAUGAACUAAAACCGGAUUCGGCAAAUGGUUACAGCCGUCGGUGAUGAUCAGUUACGGUUCAAUAAGUGCGAAUACGCCGUACGAGUGAGUGAGCUUGACAUCGAUUCAAUCAACAAAGGGUUUGAUUCGGGUAAAAGUUUGGGGAUGCUUUCGACGGGCCGGAGAUGUGGGCGAGCCUGACGUUGAACCUCCAACGCGCCGCCCCUAAUCGAUCAGGUUCCAUCUCUCUCUCUCUCUCUCUCUCUUUUGAAUCUUCCCUCGCGACUUCCAAUCAACUCUAUGAUGCCUUCGUUGGAUCUAUUUGGUAGAUGUGUGGUUGCAGCGUUGUAGAAACUGGCUAAAAAUUAUCCCGAGGCUGCUCAGAUGAUUUGUACAGCCAUGUAAGCUUCCCUUCCCUUUUUUUUUGAUGUCUUAUCUCGCUAUAAUUGAUUGAUAUGGUAGGAGCUCAAUAGUGUAUAUAAAGUUAUUAUCAUCUGUUAAGUUGUAGCCUCGGGAUUAUGUACGGUGUGUAUAUGAAAUUCAUUUGUAUAAUUGAGAUGAUGAGCUUUUAUUUAAAGUGCGGGUUUUUCUUUUGAUGUGCCAGCCCUGGAUGUUGUGAAAUGUAUAUCGAAUUGAUUUGCUUUGAUUUUAGUUGGUAGAUGUGAGCUUUAGGAGGCACAUAUCCAGCAGACGAGUGUUUGUCCGAGCUGGUAUUGGGAAUAAAAACAAAUACGAGCUUUUCUUUCUCUCUACUCGACUUUAAGAAAUAGCUUCAGCAGGUUAGUUUGAUGAAUUGUUUUUUAAUUUGUUAGUUCAGAGGAUAUAGUAGACUCUUUGUGAGAGUUUUAGGAGUUAUUAGUUUAUCACUAUGAUUUUUAUUGUACAUUUUCUUUUUUUCUUUCUCAUGGGAGUCUUUCCUUCCGCUGGUGUAUGGUCUAAGGAACAGUGUGCAGAUCAAUCAACCUUCUGGAUUCCAACUUGAGACGGCCAAAAAAGCCGGAUUGAAAGCGGUUAACAAUGAGUCUAUCACCGAUGCGGAGAAACAAAAUAGUUAAAACAGACUAUGAAAAUCUUAGCUUUUAAUUAAUAAGAAGGAACAGUUGAAGAUGAAUAAUGGUAAAUGCCUCAACUGGUCUAUACAAAAGAUGGACUCGGCAUGAAGGGUAGACUUCAAAUUAAGCGUAAUUUAGCAAAGAUUUUUGCAGAUCAUCAUCAUUCUUGAGAUUUGUGGUUUGAAGAACAUUGUUGAAAUUCUUUUUGGUUCUCGUGGCUUCUCCAAAAAUAUCUACCCGAAAUUCAGAAACAAUCUAGAAGCAGGAGCUUCGAGAAGUCAUCAAAAGAUCAGAUUAACUAUGAGAUGUCAAGCAUGCGAUUCCACAAAGAGACGAUUUAUCAGAGAGUUCAUGAACCUAGGAACACUCCAAAAACUAUGUUGUUUGAUGUGGAUCAAACUAGAUUUGGCACUGCUAUCAAUCAGAAAGCUUUUCGCAUAUGGAAAGAAUCAUUCCAACCAGCGGUUUAGGAACUUCAGCGUGUCUAUGGCAAAGAAGAUUGUUUCUUUUUGAAUGUAUAAUUAUGUUCAAAUUGUAAGAUUGUAAACAGCUUACUGGAUCUUACUUAGUGUAAAAACUUUGGUUCCAAAGAAAGUUGUAUCUUCUCCAUCGUCCAUCCCUUCAGUAAAAGCUUUCUUUAUGUAA